Molecule: ribosomal RNA, 500 nt
Filed under: uncultured bacterium
Lineage: Bacteria
Description: partial 16S ribosomal RNA
Rfam family: Bacterial small subunit ribosomal RNA
Source: RNAcentral
AUUGAACGCUGGCGGCAUGCCUUACACAUGCAAGUCGAACGGCAGCACGGAGCUUGCUCUGGUGGCGAGUGGCGAACGGGUGAGUAAUAUAUCGGAACGUACCCUGGAGAGGGGGAUAACGUAGCGAAAGUUACGCUAAUACCGCAUACGAUCCAAGGAUGAAAGCAGGGGACCUUCGGGCCUUGUGCUCCUGGAGCGGCCGAUAUCUGAUUAGCUAGUUGGUGGGGUAAAGGCCUACCAAGGCAUCGAUCAGUAGCUGGUCUGAGAGGACGACCAGCCACACUGGAACUGAGACACGGUCCAGACUCCUACGGGAGGCGGCAGUGGGGAAUUUUGGACAAUGGGGGCAACCCUGAUCCAGCAAUGCCGCGUGAGUGAAGAAGGCCUUCGGGUUGUAAAGCUCUUUUGUCAGGGAAGAAAAGGGUGCGGCUAAUAUCUGCGCCUCAUGACGGUACCUGAAGAAUAAGCACCGGCUAACUACGUGCCAGCCGCCGCAGUAA